CCGCAUCACGCCCUCACGGGGGAAAGGGGGGGAUCGCAAGACCUCUCACUAUCGGAGCGGCCGAUAUCGGAUUAGCUAGUUGGUGGGGUAAAGGCUCACCAAGGCAACGAUCCGUAGCUGGUUUGAGAGGACGACCAGCCACACUGGGACUGAGACACGGCCCAGACUCCUACGGGAGGCAGCAGUGGGGAAUUUUGGACAAUGGGGGAAACCCUGAUCCAGCCAUCCCGCGUGUAUGAUGAAGGCCUUCGGGUUGUAAAGUACUUUUGGCAGAGAAGAAAAGGUAUCCCCUAAUACGGGAUACUGCUGACGGUAUCUGCAGAAUAAGCACCGGCUAACUACGUGCCAGCAGCCGCGGUAAUACGUAGGGUGCAAGCGUUAAUCGGAAUUACUGGGCGUAAAGCGUGUGUAGGCGGUUCGGAAAGAAAGAUGUGAAAUCCCAGGGCUCAACCUUGGAACUGCAUUUUUAACUGCCGAGCUAGAGUAUGUCAGAGGGGGGUAGAAUUCCACGUGUAGCAGUGAAAUGCGUAGAUAUGUGGAGGAAUACCGAUGGCGAAGGCAGCCCCCUGGGAUAAUACUGACGCUCAGACACGAAAGCGUGGGGGAGCAAACAGGAUUAGAUACCCUGGUAGUCCACGCCCUAAACGAUGUCAACUAGC
Molecule: ribosomal RNA, 659 nt
Filed under: Alcaligenes sp. N22
Lineage: Bacteria; Pseudomonadati; Pseudomonadota; Betaproteobacteria; Burkholderiales; Alcaligenaceae
Description: bacterial SSU rRNA
Rfam family: Bacterial small subunit ribosomal RNA
Source: RNAcentral